AGUGUGCACAUCUUGCGCAAAACAUACAAGGCCAGUUAAUGAACUGUAUACUAAAGCAGCGCCCUGGCUAACAUUCAUCUGAAAGCACUACCACCCCCCCAUCCCCCGAAGUGGGAGCCAUCAGUCUCACUCUGUGACAAUGGGGGGUUUAUAGCUUUCUUACUACAAUGACCACUGCAGCCGUCAGGUCCCCUACAAAUUCCACUCAUUUCAGCAGCCCAGCGAAAAAAAUCCUUACAGUGUACAGAACCAGGGCAGCAUAAGCCAACUUGUUUGCCUUGUGUGUUUACGGUUUCUCCAUCACGGUGGUGCUACUUCGCGGUUAUGGGGCCAUGGUGACCCAGGAGCUCGGGACAGAUGAAACAUGCCAGAACAUCAGGAAAGCGAGACUCGAUUUGUGCAAAGGGUGGAUUUUCGCUGAAAGGAUCUGCAUCACUGGUGCUCUCGGGGGUGGGUGGGACAAGUAAGGAAAUUGUUCUAAUUAAAUAAAGAAAAAUGCAAAUUAAGCCAAUUGCACCAAGAGAAGGAAAAUCGGGCUGUAUGCACGGAUGGUACGGCAAGCACAGAAAGCAGCUCUUCCUUGGCCUAUCUUCAGGCAAUUGGGAUCGUGAAUGAGGGCAGUGUUUCGGACUCGCAUGCCAACAUUCUCCACAGUCUACUUAACCCUCACAUGCAUGUGUACCUACACUUACUGCCAGUUCUGCCCUCCACAAAUAUUUAUGAUUAAUACUUAAUGUCUAAUUUUUGUUUUAUGUUAUGCCCUGGCUCUGUCUUAUUUAACUAGUCUGGGGCUACGAAUUGCACACUGUUCUCAGUAGAAUUAUGCACGAUAAACAAACCUUUGAAACUCUGAACUGAAAGUAAUUUUGUGGGUAUUCUGAAAACUUUGCCUACUAACUAGCCACCUAGCAUGAAGGAUACAUGGCGAACAGCCGCACUCUCGCUGUCUGAUCCUGGGAGAGCGAUAAGCUGUGGCAGGACACAAUACAGGCCCAUCCCCACCCGCUCAGAGUAACCUAUAUCUGCCAGUCAGUCAGGAAACGGUGCGCAAGUGACUCCCCCCCCGCCCCCAGCACGCUGCGUCACAGCUCCCGCUUGCCAUACCACAGAGAGGAACUGGGCCGGCCACAACUCCCAGUCAAACACCCACAGCUGCAGCCCUUCCAAAAACCACACCCCAUCCUCACUGCGUGACACAAUUCUAGCAAAUCAACAGAAUAGGAAAAUCUAUUUGGUGGGACAAAUCUAGUCAUAAUGCCUCAGGCUGGUUUUGACAACUAUUUCCCUUCCAUGUUUGUUGCCUUUAAUGCAGAGAUCCAGCAGAUGAUCACACAAGACAAAAUUUCCGGGUAAAAAAAAUGGGAACACAACAAGCCCCCCCCCCCGUCAUCGUUACCAAAGGGCAGCUGGCAGAGUUACAGGUGUACACAACCCCCCCCCACCUCCAUGGGGUCACAGCUGACCUGCGGUAGAACUGCGUUUGUGCGAGAGGAGUGACAACAGCAGGGGGCAGUGUGUUAAGACCAGGGGGUAAGAAAAAAUAAUGCAAGCAACUUGGGCGUGAACACAGCGAGCGUGCGAGGCCUUGUUAUGUAUACAGCCACACAACAUACACCACAAACUCAAUAAGCACCGCAACAGUUAAAGGGCCUGGCGGUCUAAGUACAGUCAGAACAGGACCCCCCGCCACCAACCAGGCUUCCCUGGCAUGGCUAAAGCCCACCAAGGUCCUUUGAGGAAUUUACACCGCAUAUUCACCCAGCCACACUUAAACACUACUUGGGUGCCUCCCCAGCUGUGCUCCUGUGAACAGAUCUAGGGGGGCAGGACUCACAAGUCACCCAGCCCUUGUCACACAUUCCUGCGCCCUGCACCGUUGCAACAUCUGGCCGCGCCUCAUUCCCAUAGGUGCCGUUGCCUCGCCGCCCCAAGCUCCCUCUGGAGCGGCGGUUACACCUGACGAGGCCGUCAUGUCGUAACGGGCCAAACUGGAGCGCGGAAGUCGCUAGCGACAAGGGCUCAGCACCGCAAUGGGCACGGCUGCAAGCCACAGGUGCGGUCAACUGCUCAGCCCUGCACCAAACAUCGGUCUGCAGUAGGUGUGGCCAAAAGGCAGAGUGAUCACAGAGUGUCACACUUAUACAGGAGCAAAUACCACAUGGGGGGGGGGGGGAAUUCAGGAGCUGUGAACACCAGAACACGUCAGGUUGGGAUUACUUUGAUUUUCUGGGGCGUGGAUAACACAUCCUAAUGUUCCCUUCUGCCGAUUCUGCGAAGUUCCAGUUGCUGGCCCUAGAAGGUCAUGCUGCAGCGAAGAACUAAAAGUGCAACAUGCUGCAUGCAAACAUCUAUGCAAACCAAGAGAACAGUAAAUACUGAAAUCAAAGGCAUUUUUCAACACCUAGGCAAUAAUGAGUAUUGCAGGCAAAAGGAUUCACGUCGCAAAACUUCAACCUGAGUGUUCAGAUUGAAGUCAAACUUUUUCUACGGAUCACAAAUGAGCCAAGAAAGCAGAGGAGUUGUUCAGAAGCUGUGUUUAUAUGUAAGCGCCCAGUUUCUAAUAUAAACACUUAAGUCAUACACCAAAGAAUGAAUACUUUAAAAAGAAGAUCCGAUGUCUAGCUACAGUCGCUUGCGCAGCCUUUGUACACCGAGCAGUUUAAGAUAAUUUAUUAACAUUAAGUUAAAAAGCAAAUGCACUGACAACGCUACGAACAAAGUAUGUGAAAAUCUGUUACUUUUACUUACCUAAUUUAAAAAUCGUUCGAACUUUUAAAUUUUAGUGAGAUCUCGAACACAUUCGGUGACUUUGGUCUGGGGCUCCUUAAGAACCGAACCUACCCGAGGGAACCCGGGUCCGUUCAGUGCGUCUCGCUCGGUGUCUCAGCGCUGGGAGCUCAAACCGAACCAGUGGGCUGAUGUUACUGGCUGGAGCGGUGCGGCCUGUGCGCAUGCGCCUUCGCGCUGCCAGCAGUCCGCUGCUUUGAGUUAAACGUGCCGCUCGGCUCUCGUCCGCUUUCCGCCACCACGCCUCUUCCCACCCCCCAGGGUUUCGGCUCUCAGAAUGAAAAGGUUGGGUCCAACAGGAAGUCAUUUCCGAGAUUCUGAUACGAAGGGCAGCAUUUUUUAAAAAGAGCAGAUGGGAUUCCUGUUGUGUCAGUUUAGUUUGCGUAGUUGAAAAGCUAACAUGUGGUGUGAGCGGCAUACGUACUGCUGGGCUGUGUCCCUUUAAAAGUCAUCUGGUUAAUAUUUAAUCUGAUUUGUUGCAUUAAUGUCAAUAGUGAAGCGUUAUUAUUUGCCUACGAUCGAAUGAAUACCUGCCUGUCCUUGUUUUGUUCUUCUGCACUCUGCAUUGUGUAAAGCUAUGUAGGUUAUUAAAUUAAUCAUUUUUCAUUUGAAAUGUCAGUUAACAAGCAAUGCAAAGUCACUACCAGACCAACUUUAAACCCUGUCUAAAUCAACCAGGAAUAAUAAAGUCCCACCAAACAUAAUCAUACAUUUAUAUAAAUAAAUUCAUCAGAAUAGAGUGGAUAUACGCAGUAAAGAAUGACAUCAGCCUCACGACGUUAGACGACACAAAACAACACAUGAAACAAUCAGGCCUGCGGUGUAUAUAUAGGUUCAUCACUGGAGACGGCACACCACUGCUAGAGCACUUUAAACUACAGCACUCUCAAUCCAUACACAACCAACACUACACGCCCUUAAUGCCUAAUCUUGUAUUUGAAAUCAAUGUAAGUGCUAUGCAGCAUACAGUAGGUGGACAAAACAGAGACCAGGCCUGCCAACUCUCACACAUCUGGCCUGACAUUUUACAGCAAAUCUGUAUUAUUCCAUUAUAAUACUAAAAUGAGCUACAUCAAAAGCAUUGGGGUAGUACAGACUAUUUACAAGGUAAUAAAACUGUUACAUGCAUGUAAAUGCGUGUGCAGACUUGUCUCGAAUUGAAAAUCUCACUCCAGCCAGCUGACCAAAGUUCUCCUAUAUUUAGGUAAUCCUGAGAAUCACCUAAAUAUAUUAAGGCAGAACAAAGAACAGGACCAUACUUUGCCUUCAGAACAGCUUUAGUCCUUCUUGAAAUGCUGUCAUAUGAGUCCUGGGUGUAUUGGAGCAUCAAGAUGUUCUCCAAGAAGAGAAGCCCCUGGUUCCUUGAGGGAUGGGGCAGUGCUUCAAGUUCCAGACAUGAAAUGAUGUUUAGAUCCCAGCAUUGGGGAUGGACGUGGAAGGAUGGUGCAAGGGAGGGUGAAGGGCUUAUUAUACAGCAAGAAUCAAAGAGAAUGCAGAAUGAACACCUGCUGGAGUACAAGGCAGAGAUACUUAAAUUAUUGUCGAUAAUAUUAUCGAUCUGGAUCAAUUUCCCAGGCAGCUCAGCACUGGAAGAGAAAUGUUGCAGUAGCUGCCCUGGUUCAGGCCCAUGACGAAAAACCACGGGCGUAUUUUUGGGCAUGAACCGAACGGAGACGUCUCUGUCCAAUAUGGUGGGAGUACCACAUGUGGGGGGGGGGGGGGGGAGAAGCCCCUUCCACUGCUGAAGCCAAACCUAUACUCUUGCCAGACACAAAUAAAUUUCAUAGGGCAUCCAACAUAGGUCCUCUGAGAAUACUGUUUGUCUAAGUGGGGGGCGGGGGGGCGGUCAACCCUGCAAUUUUACUGUGUGGCUACUUACCUGGCCAGAAAACAUGGGCAGACAGACUCGGUCAAGUUCCUCAUUUUUGAUGUAAGGAAACGCCAUGGAAACCAAAGACUUUUUAUCAGCGGAAAAUAUGGCUAAAAGACAAAAGAAUGAUCUUAUCAGGACUGACGUAAAAACUCGGUGCCCUGCGAUUACUGGUCACACACCGGAACCGUCUGUUCAGAUUCCAAACAAGUCACGGAAUUGACUACUUAAUAUCAGUGACAAGAGAAGCCCCAAGCAAUCGCAUGUUUUCAGUGGAAUGCAUCUGAAUAAUAAGCCACAGAGAGGUUCUAUCAAUCCCUGAAGUAAACCACCUUAAUAUGUCUAUUAAUACAUACAUCAUACAACUAUUUUUAAAUAGACUUAUUGUAAUGUAAAAUGCAAUGCUUUGUGACUGGUGCUAUAACAUCAGGCAUUCAUCUUGUCAUAAAUUUAUUUUGAAUUUA
Brienomyrus brachyistius is the source of this 5121-nucleotide long non-coding RNA. RefSeq lists it as uncharacterized. The record is from RefSeq and is a predicted model, not a curated record. The transcript is spliced from 3 exons. Lineage: Eukaryota; Metazoa; Chordata; Actinopteri; Osteoglossiformes; Mormyridae.